CAUCCGCCGCGGUAAUACAGAGGGUGCAAGCGUUAAUCGGAAUUACUGGGCGUAAAGCGCGCGUAGGUGGUUUGUUAAGUUGGAUGUGAAAUCCCCGGGCUCAACCUGGGAACUGCAUCCAAAACUGGCAAGCUAGAGUAUGGUAGAGGGUGGUGGAAUUUCCUGUGUAGCGGUGAAAUGCGUAGAUAUAGGAAGGAACACCAGUGGCGAAGGCGACCACCUGGACUGAUACUGACACUGAGGUGCGAAAGCGUGGGGAGCAAACAGGAUUAGAGACCCCCGUAGUCCCUGUCUCUUAUAC
Molecule: ribosomal RNA, 301 nt
Filed under: uncultured bacterium
Lineage: Bacteria
Description: partial 16S ribosomal RNA
Rfam family: Bacterial small subunit ribosomal RNA
Source: RNAcentral